Molecule: long non-coding RNA, 2249 nt
Organism: Spinacia oleracea (spinach)
Lineage: Eukaryota; Viridiplantae; Streptophyta; Magnoliopsida; Caryophyllales; Amaranthaceae
Exons: 3
Source: RefSeq, a predicted model, not a curated record
AUCGACACUAAAAGCCCAAUAGAGUAACCCCGCUCUUAUUUGCACGAACUUUACUCAAAAUUUUCAUUUCCCUCUUCUUUGGCAGUCGUUCCCACUUCAACUGUUUCUAGAUCUAGGGUUAGGAACUCAAUCAGUUUCUUUCUUCCAGAUAUUUUUUCGCUAGCUCCUCCAAUGGAGUCACAACGGUAUCAACAAAUUGAGGGAUACAAUGUCGGUAAAUGGAAUGAAAUGAAGGGCCAUGGAAUCAGAGGUCCAAGGACUGGAGACACUACUAGGGAAUGCUGAGCUUUAGGCUACUAAUUUUGGUCUUUUAUAAUCCUGGAGGUGGUUGAAAAUUUGUAUUCAAAGGUCAAUAUAUUGUAGGACGAGGUAAAAUAUUUGCUAUAUACCCCCUAGUACCCAUCUUACUUUACUUGUUACAUAGGGUGAUGACUUCGUUAUAUUCUUAUUCUUGAUAUAGUAUUAUCUCUCUUUGGCUGACGUUUUUUGGUAAAAGUGAAAUAUUUUCACGGUCAACCUUCUUUAUUGUUGCAACUUUUGUUACGCCUUUCCCCUUGAAACUUUGUCUUUUGGAAAUCACUGACAGAGUAAUCAUUUUCUGCUUUUGCAUAUUGCUUUGGUGGCUUCUUUAACCAUGCAAAUAAUAUAGUUAUUUACUUAUUUUAUGUUCUAAUGUUUGUAACUACAUUCUGAAUUGAUUUGUCUCUUCCUUUACAGCUGGAAGGGGUUAAAACUGUUAAAGGAUAAAGAAUGACUUUCCCACAAAGAAGGAUGUUUUGGAUGAUCCUGACUUCGUAUUAGAAAUAUGCUUGGGGGCAAGAUGAACUUCAAGUAUUUCUUGGUGAUACUUAGAACAUGUCACUCUUAUAGCUUAGUUAUUCAAAUGAAAAAGGCAACUAAGACUUCAGCACUAACUAAUUAUACUCAUCUAGGAAGUAUAUGCUUUUGAAGUUCAAUUACUCCACUUAAGCGACAAAUGUUCAAAUUAAUUAUCUGCACAAAAAACCUCGUGAUAAGAAGCUAAUUUAACAAAUGUCCAUGAACCAUAUAUGUUUUUUGUUGUUGCAACAGUAUCAAAUAGCACGCUACCAUAGUAGUCACUUUUGUCUUUCACGAGUUUCACCACAAGAAGGAAGUAAAAGAAUUGAUGAGAGUAGUAAAAUUCAUCAUUGCAUAAUUCAAUUUAAAGAUCUGUAGAUAAAAGAAAAUGUCAUUAAUGAUUAUGUAUUAGUACAUUGCAAAAACAAUAAGUUGGAGUAUAUACCCAGAACAUUCAUCCAUUCUUGCCAAUUUAAUCAUCAGACCAUAUAUCUAGGAAGAGCAACAAGCAAACAUUUGAAUAGAGUCAAUCUAAUUCAACAAAGUGCCUAAGAAUAAAAUGGAGUAAUAUAUGUAGAUGUUCCUUUGAUCAGUCUUAGACUCUUAGGUUGUAUUUGGGUUCUUCUUUGCAACUGAUAUUUCUUGGAGUUGUUUGAUGUAUGAUUUUCCUUCUCUCUGCUGCUGUGGUUUUCUUUUGCAGAGAGGCUUCGGUUCCUCCAGUGUUGUAGGUGUUGGCUGCUUUUCUUUUGAUAGGUAUUACGCUAAUGUAGGGCUUUUUCUUCUAUUUCUAAAAGAUGGUAAAGUCAGUUGUUGGUUCAGUUUGGAUGAUUUGGUAUUUGUGUUUGGUGUUUUGGUUGAUCUGAUUGAUUAUCAGCUUUGGCCUUGGUUGCAGUUAUAACUGCACAGCCAUGCUGCAUCUGCAAUCUAUUCUAGCUCUGCUAAAUUUUAGUGUUGGCUGAUUGUGGCUGCAGCUCAUGUACUCUGUUUUUGUGGUUUAUUUUCUACAUUUUCGUAUUUCUGUAGUGAGGAUUUUGUUUCAGCAGACUCCUGGUUGCCUUUUCUGGAUUGGAUAUUGGCUAAGCUGCUAUAGUUUUGUCUUUUAUGUUGAUGGAAGACGGUGAAGAAUUUUGGGGACUGCAGGCCAUUUGAGAAGCGUUGCUAUUACUUAUCGUACAUUCUUUUGACGUGCAUAUAACUCGUUUGGCACACGGUGAAGUUGAGCUCAUCUUGGAAAGCACCUCAUGUUAUCGAUCUAUAUAUAUAGGACUUGUUGUAUCGUUAUCACAUUAGAGUAGUUAAAUAUUUAUAUAUCUUGUCCUUCGCAACUUAGAGAGAGUAUUUAGUUAAGUUUUUAGAUUGUUAGACAAUUUUCUAUCACCUAUGUAAUAACUUAUGACUUAUUCAAUAUGAGUUAUUUAUUUAUAAUAUUA